CGAGAUCUCUCAAACACUGGACUACCAAACAGGCAGCAUACACCAGCUGAUAUGAGGCCGCCAGCACACAUACAGUAGAGGAUUGCCGGGUCUGUGUUCAUUCAGAGACUAAUGAGCCAGUGUGGUGGGGAUUCCAAUCCAGUGCCUACCAGACAAUGUGAUCAGCAAAAGAAAGUUAAGAGCAAUGUGGAAUGAAGAUGGCCCUUGUCACUGAGUCGUGAUGUCUGAAGACACCUGCAAUGAUUCAAAGGGGCUUAGAGAGUCAUCCUGGAGCUCUGGAAGUGGAACAAGACACUAUCUCAACUCUAAUUAUAUGUUUCAUCAUCCAUAUGUCUUGAACCCAACCAAAGGACAAAAGCUGCCGAUCCCUGUUGUUGAAUUAGGGGAAAACUGGAAGAAGCUGAGGAGGAGGGAAACCCUGUAAGAGGACCAGCAGUCUCAACUAACCUGGAUUCCCGAGAU
RNAcentral lists this long non-coding RNA (462 nucleotides) under Mus spretus (western wild mouse). Its description in RNAcentral is "lncRNA (ENSMSPG00010051342.1)". Lineage: Eukaryota; Metazoa; Chordata; Mammalia; Rodentia; Muridae. The record is from RNAcentral.